Molecule: ribosomal RNA, 253 nt
Filed under: uncultured bacterium
Lineage: Bacteria
Description: partial 16S ribosomal RNA
Rfam family: Bacterial small subunit ribosomal RNA
Source: RNAcentral
UACAGAGGGUGCGAGCGUUAAUCGGAAUUACUGGGCGUAAAGCGUGUGUAGGCGGCUACAUAAGUCGGAUGUGAAAGCCCCGGGCUCAACCCGGGAAGUGCACUCGAUACUGCGUAGCUUGAGUCUCGGAGAGGUUGGUGGAAUUCUCGGUGUAGAGGUGAAAUUCGUAGAUAUCGAGAGGAACACCGGUGGCGAAGGCGGCCAACUGGACGAAGACUGACGCUGAGACACGAAAGCGUGGGGAGCAAACAGG